CGUGGGUAACCUGCCCAAGAGAUCGGGAUAACACCUGGAAACAGAUGCUAAUACCGGAUAACAACAGAUGAUGCCUAUCAACUGUUUAAAAGAUGGUUCUGCUAUCACUCUUGGAUGGACUCGGUGCAUUAGCUAGUUGGUAGGGUAAACGGGCCUACCAAGGCGAUGAUGCAUAGCCGAGUUGAGAGACUGAUCGGCCACAUUGGGACUGAGACACGGCCCAAACUCCUACGGGAGGCAGCAGGC
This 246-nucleotide ribosomal RNA is filed under the name uncultured Lactobacillus sp. RNAcentral describes it as "partial 16S ribosomal RNA". It matches the Rfam family "Bacterial small subunit ribosomal RNA", at positions 116 to 354 of the family's 1533-position model. The record is from RNAcentral. Lineage: Bacteria; Bacillati; Bacillota; Bacilli; Lactobacillales; Lactobacillaceae.